RNAcentral lists this ribosomal RNA (506 nucleotides) under uncultured bacterium. Its description in RNAcentral is "partial 16S ribosomal RNA". It matches the Rfam family "Bacterial small subunit ribosomal RNA", at positions 29 to 523 of the family's 1533-position model. The record is from RNAcentral.
AGUGAACGCUGGCGGUAGGCCUAACACAUGCAAGUCGAACGGCAGCACAGGAGAGCUUGCUCUCUGGGUGGCGAGUGGCGGACGGGUGAGGAAUACAUCGGAAUCUACUCUGUCGUGGGGGAUAACGUAGGGAAACUUACGCUAAUACCGCAUACGACCUACGGGUGGAAGCAGGGGACCUUCGGGCCUUGCGCGAUUGAAUGAGCCGAUGUCGGAUUAGCUAGUUGGCGGGGUAAAGGCCCACCAAGGCGACGAUCCGUAGCUGGUCUGAGAGGAUGAUCAGCCACACUGGAACUGAGACACGGGCCAGACUCCUACGGGAGGCAGCAGUGGGGAAUAUUGGACAAUGGGCGCAAGCCUGAUCCAGCCAUACCGCGUGGGUGAAGGAGGCCUUCGGGUUGUAAAGCCCUUUUGUUGGGAAAGAAAUCCAGCUGGCUAAUACCCGGUUGGGAUGACGGUACCCAAAGAAUAAGCACCGGCUAACUUCGUGCCAGCCGCCGCCGUAA